UGAUGUUCGCCACGAGAUUAUCGAACAUUUCAUUGCCAAUUGCCCCCUGCUUGAAGAGUUAGCUGUGAAAUGGUCGAGACGCCUAACAAGGCUAAAGGUUGUGGGUUCUUCAUUGAAGCACUUGGAAGUAAUAGAUUGCCUACCUUUGGAAUCGGUGGAGAUUGAUCAUGCCCCUCGCCUCGAGCGGUUGAUACUUGAUGAUAGUUCCUACCAUGUGGAGGAAAUCCAAGUGGGUAAUUUCCCAUCGCUUGUGGAUAUGAGCUUAGGCCACAAUUUCAAUGGUAUGUUUAGAGCACUUUCAGGAUGCGCUAGUCGAUUGGUGUCCCUCUCGUUGAUGUCGUCCG
RNAcentral lists this long non-coding RNA (344 nucleotides) under Linum usitatissimum (flax). RNAcentral describes it as "long non-coding RNA (LUSI_LNC001178)". Lineage: Eukaryota; Viridiplantae; Streptophyta; Magnoliopsida; Malpighiales; Linaceae. The record is from RNAcentral.